CGGCGUGCUUAACACAUGCAAGUCGAACGGAAAGGCCCUGCUUUUGUGGGGUGCUCGAGUGGCGAACGGGUGAGUAACACGUGAGUAACCUGCCCUUGACUUUGGGAUAACUUCAGGAAACUGGGGCUAAUACCGGAUAGGAGCUCCUGCUGCAUGGUGGGGGUUGGAAAGUUUCGGCGGUUGGGGAUGGACUCGCGGCUUAUCAGCUUGUUGGUGGGGUAGUGGCUUACCAAGGCUUUGACGGGUAGCCGGCCUGAGGGGGUGACCGGCCACAUUGGGACUGAGAUACGGCCCAGACUCCUACGGGAGGCAGCAGUGGGGAAUAUUGCACAAUGGGCGGAAGCCUGAUGCAGCAACGCCGCGUGCGGGAUGACGGCCUUCGGGUUGUAAACCGCUUUCGCCUGUGACGAAGCGUGAGUGACGGUAAUGGGUAAAGAAGCACCGGCUAACUACGUGCCAGCAGCCGCGGUGAUACGUAGGGUGCGAGCGUUGUCCGGAUUUAUUGGGCGUAAAGGGCUCGUAGGUGGUUGAUCGCGUCGGAAGUGUAAUCUUGGGGCUUAACCCUGAGCGUGCUUUCGAUACGGGUUGACUUGAGGAAGGUAGGGGAGAAUGGAAUUCCUGGUGGAGCGGUGGAAUGCGCAGAUAUCAGGAGGAACACCAGUGGCGAAGGCGGUUCUCUGGGCCUUUCCUGACGCUGAGGAGCGAAAGCGUGGGGAGCGAACAGGCUUAGAUACCCUGGUAGUCCACGCUGUAAACGGUGGGUACUAGGUGUGGGGUUCAUUCCACGGGUUCCGUGCCGUAGCUAACGCUUUAAGUACCCCGCCUGGGGAGUACGGCCGCAAGGCUAAAACUCAAAGGAAUUGACGGGGCCCCGCACAAGCGGCGGAGCAUGCGGAUUAAUUCGAUGCAACGCGUAGAACCUUACCUGGGUUUGACAUGGAUCGGGAGUGCUCAGAGAUGGGUGUGCCUCUUUUGGGGUCGGUUCACAGGUGGUGCAUGGCUGUCGUCAGCUCGUGUCGUGAGAUGUUGGGUUAAGUCCCGCAACGAGCGCAACCCUUGUUCACUGUUGCCAGCACGUUAUGGUGGGGACUCAGUGGAGACCGCCGGGGUCAACUCGGAGGAAGGUGGGGAUGACGUCAAGUCAUCAUGCCCCUUAUGUCCAGGGCUUCACGCAUGCUACAAUGGCUGGUACAGAGAGUGGCGAGCCUGUGAGGGUGAGCGAAUCUCGGAAAGCCGGUCUCAGUUCGGAUUGGGGUCUGCAACUCGACCUCAUGAAGUCGGAGUCGCUAGUAAUCGCAGAUCAGCAACGCUGCGGUGAAUACGUUCCCGGGGCUUGUACACACCGCCCGUCAAGUCAUGAAAGUUGGUAACACCCGAAGCCGGUGGCCUAACCGUUGUGGGGGAGCCGUCGAAGGUGGGACUGGUGAUUAGGACUAAG
This 1438-nucleotide ribosomal RNA is filed under the name uncultured organism. RNAcentral's name for it is "16S ribosomal RNA". It matches the Rfam family "Bacterial small subunit ribosomal RNA". The record is from RNAcentral.